CACGCAGGCGGUCUCUUAAGUCCACUGUUAAAUCACGGGGCUCAACCCCGGAGGUGCAGUGGAUACUGAGGGACUGGAGACCGGUAGAGGCUAGCGGAAUUCCUGGUGUAGCGGUGGAAUGCGUAGAUAUCAGGAGGAACACCGGUGGCGAAGGCGGCUAGCUGGGCCGGUUCUGACGCUCAUGUGCGAAAGCGUGGGGAGCAAACAGGAUUAGAUACCCUGGUAGUCCACGCCGUAAACGAUGGGCACUAGAUGCCGGGCUCUUCGACGAGUUCGGUGUCGUAGCUAACGCAUUAAGUGCCCCGCCUGGGGAGUACGGCCGCAAGGCUGAA
RNAcentral lists this ribosomal RNA (332 nucleotides) under uncultured Gemmatimonadota bacterium. Its description in RNAcentral is "bacterial SSU rRNA". It matches the Rfam family "Bacterial small subunit ribosomal RNA", at positions 568 to 898 of the family's 1533-position model. The record is from RNAcentral. Lineage: Bacteria; Pseudomonadati; Gemmatimonadota.